GACGAACGCUGGCGGCGUGCUUAACACAUGCAAGUCGAACGGAAAGGCCUAGCUUGCUGGGUACUCGAGUGGCGAACGGGUGAGUAACACGUGGGUGAUCUGCCCCUGACUUUGGGAUAAGCCUGGGAAACUGGGUCUAAUACCGGAUAUUCAUUUUUCCUCGCAUGGGGAUUUGUGGAAAGCUUUUGCGGUUGGGGAUGGGCCCGCGGCCUAUCAGCUUGUAGGUGGGGUAAUGGCCUACCAAGGCGACGACGGGUAGCCGACCUGAGAGGGUGAUCGGCCACACUGGGACUGAGACACGGCCCAGACUCCUACGGGAGGCAGCAGUGGGGAAUAUUGCACAAUGGGCGCAAGCCUGAUGCAGCGACGCCGCGUGAGGGAUGACGGCCUUCGGGUUGUAAACCUCUUUCAGCUCCGACGAAGCGCAAGUGACGGUAGGAGCAGAAGAAGCACCGGCCAACUACGUG
RNAcentral lists this ribosomal RNA (467 nucleotides) under uncultured bacterium. Its description in RNAcentral is "partial 16S ribosomal RNA". It matches the Rfam family "Bacterial small subunit ribosomal RNA", at positions 28 to 507 of the family's 1533-position model. The record is from RNAcentral.